This 408-nucleotide long non-coding RNA is filed under the name Ananas comosus (pineapple). RNAcentral describes it as "long non-coding RNA (ACOM_LNC042506)". Lineage: Eukaryota; Viridiplantae; Streptophyta; Magnoliopsida; Poales; Bromeliaceae. The record is from RNAcentral.
CGCCGUUUUGAGGACGGCGGAGGAGCAACCUGAACAACUUCGAUCGGUUUUUUGUCUGAAGCUGGGUCUGAAGCUGGGACCGAUGGAGAAAUAGGAAUUGACUGAAAAUAGAAACAAACAAUAGUGAUGAAUAAAGAAAAAGACGAUGAUUAAGAUGAGUAAGGAAGUGAUAUUUACAGAGGAAGGAGGCGAAGAUUCAACAGCUUCUUUUGACUUUUCUUCAGAUACAGAUGGUUCAGCAGGGCUAUCAGACCAGGUCUUGCUCGGAAAGGGACUGCGAGUGAGAAGCAGAUAAGUAAAAUAAUGAAGAUUGAAGAGUAAAAGUUAAAUAAAACAACAUACCAAUGGGAUGACGAGUUUUGUAAUGUGCAGCCGAAACAAUGGGAGGAAAGGUUUCUCGGAGAAAAG